GCAGUCGAGCGAGACCUUCGGGNUNCUAGCGGCGGACGGGUUAGUAACGCGUGGGAACGUGCCCUUCUCUGCGGAAUAGCCACUGGAAACGGUGAGUAAUACCGCAUACGCCCUUCGGGGGAAAGAUUUAUCGGAGAAGGAUCGGCCCGCGUUAGAUUAGAUAGUUGGUGGGGUAACGGCCUACCAAGUCUACGAUCUAUAGCUGGUUUUAGAGGAUGAUCAGCAACACUGGGACUGAGACACGGCCCAGACUCCUACGGGAGGCAGCAGUGGGGAAUCUUAGACAAUGGGCGCAAGCCUGAUCUAGCCAUGCCGCGUGUGUGAUGAAGGUCUUAGGAUCGUAAAGCACUUUCGCCAGGGAUGAUAAUGACAGUACCUGGUAAAGAAACCCCGGCUAACUCCGUGCCAGCAGCCGCGGUAAUACGGAGGGGGUUAGCGUUGUUCGGAAUUACUGGGCGUAAAGCGCGCGUAGGCGGAUUGGAAAGUUGGGGGUGAAAUCCCGGGGCUCG
This 509-nucleotide ribosomal RNA is filed under the name Sulfitobacter sp. RNAcentral describes it as "bacterial SSU rRNA". It matches the Rfam family "Bacterial small subunit ribosomal RNA", at positions 57 to 611 of the family's 1533-position model. The record is from RNAcentral. Lineage: Bacteria; Pseudomonadati; Pseudomonadota; Alphaproteobacteria; Rhodobacterales; Roseobacteraceae.